CCUACGGGUGGCAGCAGUGGGGAAUAUUGCACAAUGGGGGAAACGCUGAUGCAGCGACGCCGCGUGAGGGAAGAAGGAAUUCGGUAUGGAAAGCUCUAUCAGCAGGGAAGAAAAUGACGGUACGUGAGGAAGAAGCCCCGGCUAACUACGUGCCAGCAGCCGCGGGAAUACGGAGGGGGCAAGCGUUAUCCGGAUUUACUGGGUGUAAAGGGAGCGUAGACGGCAGUGCAAGUCUGGAGUGAAAGGCGGGGGCUCAACCCCCGGACUGCUCUGGAAACUGUACGGCUGGAGUGCAGGAGAGGUAAGUGGAAUUCCUAGUGUAGCGGUGAAAUGCGUAGAUAUUAGGAGGAACACCAAUGGCGAAGGCAGUCUGCUGGACAGCAACUGACGGUGAGGCGCGAAAGCGUGGGGAGCAAACAGGAUUAGAUACCCUUGUAGUC
This 440-nucleotide ribosomal RNA is filed under the name uncultured bacterium. RNAcentral describes it as "partial 16S ribosomal RNA". It matches the Rfam family "Bacterial small subunit ribosomal RNA", at positions 338 to 795 of the family's 1533-position model. The record is from RNAcentral.